Molecule: long non-coding RNA, 669 nt
Filed under: Mytilus galloprovincialis (Mediterranean mussel)
Lineage: Eukaryota; Metazoa; Mollusca; Bivalvia; Mytilida; Mytilidae
Source: RNAcentral
UUGGUGAUAUUUUGUCAAAUUUUUAUUUGAAUUCACAGACUUUUAAUAACAAUUAAAUUCUGUAAUGAAUUAUUUAUUACAGUUGAAUGUAUUACGUAAACUUUUCAUACUUCAUUGAACCAAAAAGAGUUUCUGUUAACUCUUCUACCUUUUUAAACAGUUAUCCGAAGCCGUCUGCCGCCUAUUUUGCAAUCACCUAAGAAACCGUUCAACAAAUGUUUCUCGUACUUUAGAAUUUCUAGUUUUUAGUUAAAUGGAAGAUUGCACUUAAUUAAUUAUUUUUGUCUAAAUGUCCUUUAUACGUGUACUUGCUUGCACGAGUAACCACCGAUAAUGAUAUUGAUUGAAACCUUAACCAGUUCAAAGGACAUAUAAUGAUAAUCAAAUGAGCCUUCGAGUUUCCAAUUUUUCAAUCCUUUUAUUUUUGUAAGAAUAUCUGACCAUGUCAACAACAAUGGUCGCUCUUUCUGGUGAUAAAAACUUUGCAAAAAGUUGCGUCGAAAGUACUCUACGACAAGUAUGAAUGACUGUUGUUUUUAUUUACUUAUUUUUAACAAGCCAACAAUGUUUUUAAAAUGCAGCAUACCGUUAAAUCACUUCAACCGCAUUGCAGCUCUUCGUCUUAUAGUAGUAGUAGUAUUUGGUAAAUACAAAUAUCAUAUUUUGGCA